This 885-nucleotide unclassified non-coding RNA is filed under the name Hevea brasiliensis (rubber tree). The record is from RNAcentral. Lineage: Eukaryota; Viridiplantae; Streptophyta; Magnoliopsida; Malpighiales; Euphorbiaceae.
GAGAGAGAGAGAGAGAGAGAGUGGAAGAGGGAGAAAGAGACACAAAUUGUGAGAGUGAGGGAUAACAAGACAGAAUGUGUGAGACAGAGAGAGUAUCAACAAAGUCGAUUCCCUACAAAUUUGGCAAAAAUGAAAUAUUCUUAGGAUUCUCCCUUUAUAUGAUGUAUUGUUUAAUUAGUUGAUAAGGAUUGGAAAUAUGUGGACCAUGUGAUCUUGCCAUGUGGUACUUAUGGCUUAAGAUAUGUUGGGUUGGGUACAUUUAAAAUGGAGAGAAGAUUAUUGCCGGAGUGGGUCUCCAAUAUAGAGCUUUCAGAUGGUUAAGUCAGUGAUUUGGUGGAAAAUAUUCUCUACUAAAAGGAGAUACAAGCCGAAAGAGAUGGAGAUGAGCCCCUUAGAGUUUACCUUUCAUCCAUUUAUACUUGUUAGUGUGACGUCGUGGUUGGAACGGGUGUUCCUUGUUUCUUUAAUAGUUAAACAACCCUACCUUUCACAUGCUUUUCCUCAUGAUUUGGGUCUACCGUGGUUGGUAGUCAAAGUCAUUUAUUUCCUUUGUUAUCAUUAUUUCUAUAGCAAUGUGGUUAGUGCCAAUCAAUAAGGUAAUGAUGUCCUUUCGGCCAUAAUAGGCACACCUCAUUUAUUAUGGUUUCUUGCAAUCAUGUUCUCAUGUUUAGUGUCAAAUUCAUCAUUGAUGCUUCGAUGAGCAGGGCUUGAGGUAAAAUAAUGUCGACCAAUUCUUCUCUUUGUCUAGUCGGACCUUCAAGCCUUUCGAGAGGUCGGUGAUUGGAUACACGUCAUCUCAUUUUGGCUUGAUUAUUUCUAUCCAUAUCAUCAAUAAUUCCUUUUAGGAUCAGUCUUGGUGUUUAAAAUAAUUAAUUUAAUAAAAUU